Molecule: unclassified non-coding RNA, 454 nt
Filed under: Hevea brasiliensis (rubber tree)
Lineage: Eukaryota; Viridiplantae; Streptophyta; Magnoliopsida; Malpighiales; Euphorbiaceae
Source: RNAcentral
GCAGAUUAUGUAAAAGUAAGUUGUGAAUUUAACUGUCAUGGGACCAAGGAUAUUUAGGUUGAGUAGAAUUUGACUUAAUACUGUUUCAGGCCCAAUUGGAAUUAUCAUAUAAGAGGAAGGAAGUGGAUAUUCUGGGCAUCUAUAGUGAAAAUGGGUACCUUGAACAUUCUUGUUGCAAUAACUUUUAUCUUCAUAGUGAUUUGGCUUAUAUUUCUAGGUAUGUGCAUAUACCUCUCCAGGAAUUGAGUUAUGCACUUGAAAUGCUAGUGAAAACAGAAAACUGAGAAAUUGAGUGAUUAUCAAUCAUGUUUUCUUGGUCUUGUUCCCUCACAGUAUGUUGGUUGAACACAUGAAUUUUUGUUUUACUUAUUUUUAUUUGGGCAGUAUUAUUGACUUAUUCAUUGACCUAAUGACUUUAAUUUAUUUUCAGAACAUGAUUACUGGAGCUGCCCAG